AUUGAACGCUGGCGGAACGCUUUACACAUGCAAGUCGAACGGCAGCACGGGUGCUUGCACCUGGUGGCGAGUGGCGAACGGGUGAGUAACAUAUCGGAACGUACCCAGUAAUGGGGGAUAACUAACCGAAAGGUUAGCUAAUACCGCAUACGCCCUGAGGGGGAAAGCGGGGGAUCGAAAGACCUCGCGUUAUUGGAGCGGCCGAUAUCUGAUUAGCUAGUUGGUGAGGUAAAGGCUCACCAAGGCGACGAUCAGUAGCAGGUCUGAGAGGAUGAUCUGCCACACUGGAACUGAGACACGGUCCAGACUCCUACGGGAGGCAGCAGUGGGGAAUUUUGGACAAUGGGGGAAACCCUGAUCCAGCCAUUCCGCGUGAGUGAAGAAGGCCUUCGGGUUGUAAAGCUCUUUCGGCAGGGAAGAAACGGUUCUGGAUAAUACCCGGAGCUAAUGACGGUACCUGAAGAAGAAGCACCGGCUAACUACGUGCCAGCAGCCGCCGUAA
Molecule: ribosomal RNA, 502 nt
Filed under: uncultured bacterium
Lineage: Bacteria
Description: partial 16S ribosomal RNA
Rfam family: Bacterial small subunit ribosomal RNA
Source: RNAcentral